Peromyscus eremicus (cactus mouse) is the source of this 2671-nucleotide long non-coding RNA. RefSeq lists it as uncharacterized. The transcript is spliced from 2 exons. The record is from RefSeq and is a predicted model, not a curated record. NCBI's taxonomy places the organism in Eukaryota, Metazoa, Chordata, Mammalia, Rodentia, Cricetidae.
UCCUGGGCAUGUGUCUAUCCUUUCUGCACUCCCUCCAUACCCCUAGUCAGGUCACGUUCCAGCCACAUUGGAUGCAGUGGUUACCAAACUUUGUGUCCCAGGUUCCCAUCUGUAAAUUGGGAAUUAUGAUAGUAUUAUGUUAUAGAGCCACUGGCAAGACCUAAUGAGUUAUGCAUGCAAAAUGCUUAGAAUAGGGCUUGGCAUGUAGGAAGGGUUCAAUAACUGUUCCUGUUGCUGAAUGUUGGUUAUGAGGCUAGCAGCUUGCCUGAAUGGGCUAAGGAAGGCUCAGAGUUAGGCCUAAUCCUCUCUUACUCCUCUGUUCCCUCUGCAGAACCGAAGGCCCAACUGACUAAGACACCACAUUCUUCCCUUAAGAGUGGGACAUCCUGUGCCAACCACCGUGAUGGGCGACUUUAUCACCAAGGUGGGUGCUAGCAGAUACUCUUACUUCAUCCUUUACUCAUUUGCCAUCCCCAGGAACAUUUCACAGGAAUCGUGAGCACACGUCCUAGCUAUGGGAUCCCUAAGCCAAUCAAAGCACGGAAUAAAAAUACCAGGUUCAUGUCCACUAGACAAUGAAUGGAGAAGUAGAAAGCAGCACUGCCACACAGUGGGAUAAUCUUCACCUACAGAGGGAAUGGAAAGUAGGGGCUCGGGAGACGGUUCCGCAAGUAAAAUGCUUCUAGAACAAUCCCGGUAACCUCAGGAGAGAGCUGGCUCUCCAGGCUGCCCUCUGACCUCCGUACGCACUCCACGGUACACGCGCAGCCCCUUCUACCACGCACAAUGAUAAUCUUUAAAAAGGAGAAUGAAAUAUUGAUACACGUGGAACACAGAUAACUACAGCAAACAUUACUCUAAACAGAAGGAAGCCCUAAAUACCACUUAUCAUUCGAUUGUAUUUGUAUGGGAUGUCCAGAGCAGGUAAAUCUGUAAAGACGGAAGCAGAUUAGUGGUUGCCCGGAGUGGGUGGGAGGACAGAAGGGGGGGGGAUGGCUAUAGAGGCGGGAUUCUUUUGGAGAUGACAAAGAAAAUGCUCUAAUAUUGAUGGCUGCACACAUCUGCAGAUACAAUACGAAUGGUUUCAUUGCGCCCCCCUCCCCUACCUUUUGAGACAGGGUCUUACUUUGUAGCACAGGCUGGUAUCAAACUUACAACUAUCCUCCUGCCUCAGCUUCCCAAGUGCUGGGAUUAUAGGCAUGAGCCAACAUGCCAGUUCUAAUUGCCUGUAAUAUUCACUUAUUUAUUUAUUGGUUUUUCGAGACAGAGUUUCUCUCUGUAACAGCUCUGGCUGUCCUGGGACUCACUCUGUAGACCAGGCUGGCCUCAGACUCACAGAGAUCACCUGUUUCUGCCUCAAAAGUGCUGGGAUUAAAGGUGUGCACCACUACACCCAGUGCCCUUUGAUUUUUAACAUUUACUUAUUUACUAAGUGUGUGUGUGUGUGUGUGUGUGUGUGUGUGUGUGUGUGCACUCAGAUGCCACAGUGUGCAUGUUGGAGAUUAGAGUCAUUUCUUUCUUCCCAUUAAGUGGGUCCCAGGGGUUGAACUCCCGUUGUCGGGCCUGGAGACCCCUUCCCGUCAGCCAUCUUGCCAGCACUAACUGUUUACUUUAAAUCCAUGAAGUUUACAGCGUAUUAAUUAGCUCUCAGUCAAGUUAUUACUUUAAAAGAUAGCAAAUCCUUCACACCCAGCCUAAGGGGCCUAUUGACUGGAGAUAGAGAUGGUGAUGGAGAGAAAACUGACUUUGUUUCCAUAGUCCUGACCUCUUCCCUGCGUUGUACAUGCUCCAUGUAUACGAUCUUCCUGUUCCCAGCCUGCCUUGUACCGCUGACACAUCUGAGGACUUUCUUCCAGUCACCUGCUGGGGGAAGGAGCCGAUGAGAUGAUUAUAAAAUAGGAAUCCAACCCUAGGGGUCUUCAAGGACAGAAUCGGCUUGCUGCAAGGAUCAGCAGAGGGCUUUUGUGCUCAGCCCCUCAGGGACCGAGGAGUGGGGCAGCAGCUGUGUGCCCAACCACGGUGACGUAUGGGGAUUACAGGGUAAAAUUCACGGUAUUGGAGCGCGAAGGACUUCCGGUCUACCUGAAGGCCUGGUUGGUGAUAACAAGUUUCAUGAUGAGAAGAGGCCGCUCUGUGCUGGGUGGACUCACUGCCCCAUUCAAGAGCAGGGGGAGGAGGCAUCAGGGACAACCUCACAGAGGAAGUGAUGAGCACGUCCCAGCUGUCACAGCCAGCGCUUAUGAUGAGUUUCCUGGGUGACAGGCUCAGACCUCUAGUGCCCACUCAGUACUUGGGAAGCGCCGAGUGAAAGCUGUCACAUAAACAUGGGGUAACUCUGGCCAAAGUCACAUGAGCUCCUGAAGCCUCAGCCUCUGCAUCUAUGACAUCAGAAUGAUCCCUGGCUUGCCUUGUACACUAGAUGGCCACAAGACUUUGAGGACACAGAGAAUGGGGGAGCACAUUGGAGGAAGAGCACAGCUGGACAGGAUGAGGGCAGCCUGCCCCUCUGGAAGCAAGUAUUGAAGUAUAACAAACAGGCCAGGCAUCAUGAGAGACCCCACCAAAUGUGUCCACACCCUAGUCCCUGGAAGCUGUCACUGCGUAAGGUCACGUGGUAACCGGCAGAUGAAGCAGCUGGUGGAAAUAAAGUUGCCUAUCAGCCGAUCUUAAA